RNAcentral lists this ribosomal RNA (495 nucleotides) under uncultured bacterium. Its description in RNAcentral is "partial 16S ribosomal RNA". It matches the Rfam family "Bacterial small subunit ribosomal RNA", at positions 28 to 523 of the family's 1533-position model. The record is from RNAcentral.
GAUGAACGCUAGCGGGAGGCCUAACACAUGCAAGCCGAGCGGUAUUGUUUCUUCGGAAAUGAGAGAGCGGCGUACGGGUGCGUAACACGUGUGCAACCUGCCUUUAUCUGGGGGAUAGCCUUUCGAAAGGAAGAUUAAUACUCCAUAAUAUAUUGAACGGCAUCGUUUAAUAUUGAAAGCUCCGGCGGAUAGAGAUGGGCACGCGCAAGAUUAGCUAGUUGGUGAGGUAACGGCUCCCCAAGGCGAUGAUCUUUAGGGGGCCUGAGAGGGUGAUCCCCCACACUGGUACUGAGACACGGACCAGACUCCUACGGGAGGCAGCAGUGAGGAAUAUUGGUCAAUGGGUGCAAGCCUGAACCAGCCAUCCCGCGUGAAGGACAACUGCCCUAUGGGUUGUAAACUUCUUUUGUAUAGGGAUAAACCUACCCUCGUGAGGGUAGCUGAAGGUACUAUACGAAUAAGCACCGGCUAACUCCGUGCCAGCAGCCGCCGUAA